Molecule: ribosomal RNA, 425 nt
Filed under: uncultured bacterium
Lineage: Bacteria
Description: bacterial SSU rRNA
Rfam family: Bacterial small subunit ribosomal RNA
Source: RNAcentral
UCGAGGAUCUUCGGCAAUGGGCGCAAGCCUGACCGAGCGACGCCGCGUGCGGGAUGAAGGCCUUCGGGUUGUAAACCGCUGUCAGUGAGGAGGAAAUUCGCGGGGGUUCUCCCUCGUGAUUGACCUAUUCGCAGAGGAAGGGUGGGCUAAGCUCGUGCCAGCAGCCGCGGUAAGACGAGCCACCCAAACGUUAUUCGGAAUUACUGGGCUUAAAGGGUGCGUAGGCGGUGCAGCAAGUCGGGAGUGAAAUACCCCAGCUUAACUGAGGAAUUGCUUUCGAUACUGCUGUGCUUGAGUGAGACAGAGGUAAGCGGAACUUAGGGUGGAGCGGUGAAAUGCGUUGAUAUCCUAAGGAACACCGGUGGCGAAGGCGGCUUACUGGGUCUCAACUGACGCUGAGGCACGAAAGCUAGGGUAGCAAACGG